CCUACGGGUGGCAGCAGUCGAGAAUUUUUCACAAUGGGGGAAACCCUGAUGGAGCGACGCCGCGUGGAGGAUGAAGGUCUUCGGAUUGUAAACUCCUGUCAAAUGGGAACAAGAAAGUGAUAGUACCAUUAGAGGAAGAGACGGCUAACUCUGUGCCAGCAGCCGCGGUAAUACAGAGGUCUCAAGCGUUGUUCGGAUUCAUUGGGCGUAAAGGGUGCGCAGGCUGCGGGGUAAGUCGGAUGUGAAAUUUAGGGGCUCAACCUCUAAACUGCAUUCGAUA
Molecule: ribosomal RNA, 280 nt
Filed under: uncultured bacterium
Lineage: Bacteria
Description: partial 16S ribosomal RNA
Rfam family: Bacterial small subunit ribosomal RNA
Source: RNAcentral